RNAcentral lists this long non-coding RNA (737 nucleotides) under Cavia porcellus (domestic guinea pig). RNAcentral's name for it is "lncRNA (ENSCPOG00000035565.1)". The record is from RNAcentral. Lineage: Eukaryota; Metazoa; Chordata; Mammalia; Rodentia; Caviidae.
GGGGCGCUAGAGACGCGUGGCUGCCGGCGCGCGUCAGUCUGCCGCCCUCGCAGAACCUCCCGCUGGGGGUUCGGGGAGCAUCUAUCGAGCGGCCCCGCCCGUCCACGCUAAUUGAGCAUCUUAGGGAGGCGGGACCCUGCGGAGGUCACCCGGGCCUGGGUCCUCCGUGCCCGCGGGCCUGGCUGGCGCUGGCAGGUGCCGCCUGUGCCAGGAACCGAGGAGUCGAGGAAGGAGGCUGGGAAGCCGGGGUCGCUGGCGGCAGUCUCGGGCGGGAACGUCCCCACGGGGGCAGAGGCUGAGUGAGGGGCCCAGGGACGCUGUCAUGACCAGGCCGUGGGGGUUCUGCCGACCGGCUGACUCUAUGUUUUUGUUCCGCAGGUGGGGUCCAGUGACCUUGGCACGGCUACCAACAGGCCUUCCGGGGACUAAGAUACACCCAGCCGUCCUCAGUUCCCCCUCUUCCUGGCUGCUUACCAGCCCAUUCGUAAUACGCCCAAAAAGAGUUUGGAAAAAAGGAGGAAGAUGCAUGGGAAUAAAAAAGGCCAUGAUCAUUUAUAUAUUAAUAUUUUUAUUUGUCGCAUCCAUAAAUGUGUACUCUUUAAAUGAUUCUAUUGUUAACUUUGAGUGGAUCUGAAACAAACCUGAAAGGUUAGAAUACAGCAGCCAGGUUUUCAUGAACCCAAGGUGUUUAAGACCUAUGCUUUAUUCUGAGGCAUUAGGGCUCAGAUGAUCGUUUU